UAUCCUCGUACCUUUUGCAUCAUGAUUUAGCUAGAAAAUUCAAGCAAAGAGCCCUUUAGUUUGAAACCCCGAAACUGAGUGAGCUACUCCAAGACAGCCUAUUAAUUAGGGCACACCCGUCUCUGUGGCAAAAGAGUGGGAAGAGCUUUGAGUAGAGGUGACAGACCUACCGAACUCAGUUAUAGCUGGUUGCCUGUGAAUUGAAUAUAAGUUCAGCCUCCCAGCUUCUUAAUAAACCGAGAGAGUUAGUCAAAGGGGGUACAGCCCCUUUGAAACAGACACAACUUUUAUAGGAGGGUAAAGAUCAUACUAUUUAAGGAAAUUUGCCCUGGUGGGCCUGAAAGCAGCCAUCCUAACAGAAAGCGUUAUAGCUCAAGCAUCCGAUUCAGAUAACUCUAUCUUAACCCCCUUAUCUUACCAGGCCCUUCUAUUUACAUAGAAGAGACUAUGCUAAUAUGAGUAAUAAGAAAGAUCUUUCUCACAGCAUACGUGUAAAUCGGAACGGACCCCCCGCCGAAAAUCAACGGACCCAACCAAAGAGGGAAUUGAAAAAACACCAGAAAAACCUUCACCGUUAAUCCCACACAGGCAUGCAUUUAAAUGAAAGACUAAAAGAUAAGAGAAGGAACUCGGCAAAAAAGCCUCGCCUGUUUACCAAAAACAUCGCCUCUUGAAAAAAUAAGAGGUCCUGCCUGCCCAGUGACACAAGUUUAACGGCCGCGGUAUUUUGACCGUGCUAAGGUAGCGCAAUCACUUGUCUUUUAAAUGAAGACCCGUAUGAAUGGCAAAACGAGGGCUUAACUGUCUCCUCUAUCCAGUCAAUGAAAUUGAUCUCCCCGUGCAGAAGCGGGGAUACCACCAUAAGACGAGAAGACCCUAUGGAGCUUUAGACAACAAUUCAGCCCGUCCCCAAAUUCUAAAUAAACGAACACACUUAACGGCCCCUGUAUUAAUGUCUUCGGUUGGGGCGACCGCGGGGAAAUACAAAACCCCCAUGUGGAAUAAGAGCACUCUUAGAAACUAGAGGGACACCUCUAAUUAACAGAACUUCUGACCUUAAAUGAUCCGGCCUGCCGAUCAGCGAACCAAGUUACCCUAGGGAUAACAGCGCAAUCCUCUUUUAGAGCCCAUAUCGACAAGGGGGUUUACGACCUCGAUGUUGGAUCAGGACAUCCUAAUGGCGCAG
Molecule: ribosomal RNA, 1186 nt
Filed under: Solea solea (common sole)
Lineage: Eukaryota; Metazoa; Chordata; Actinopteri; Pleuronectiformes; Soleidae
Description: partial 16S ribosomal RNA
Rfam family: Bacterial large subunit ribosomal RNA
Source: RNAcentral